This 1156-nucleotide long non-coding RNA is filed under the name Ananas comosus (pineapple). RNAcentral's name for it is "long non-coding RNA (ACOM_LNC035931)". Lineage: Eukaryota; Viridiplantae; Streptophyta; Magnoliopsida; Poales; Bromeliaceae. The record is from RNAcentral.
GUAGAUCGAAUUUUUGGGUUGCAAAAACAAAAAGAAAAUAUAUAAAAACAAAUCAGGAAAAAAAAAGGGGCAUACCUCGUUUGAGAGAGAGGGGCGAUGCGGAGCGCACGGGGUGUGGGCCUUUCCAUACAGAGGGAAAAGAGUGACCGCAGGGAGUGCAGGCGGGGGGUGCGGCAAGGUUCAGAGGUGAGCAAUAAGGAGUGUGAGAGAAGGGGAGAUAAAGAGAAAGAGAAAACACGAAAGAGAAAGAGAGUAAGAUGGGGAGAGAUAGGAGAGAGCGCACGAAGAGAGAGAGCGCACGACUUAACGGAUGUUUUUUUAUUAAUCCUCCUUUAAGUCACAGCACGGAUCUCAAAGUGAUCCAAUGGUAAAAAGCUCACUAGCACGAGUCAGGCUAUGCUAGUAAUAGCACACCAGCCUGACUCUAUAGAGCUAGGCUGGUAUACUAUCAGUAGCACGAAGGCCUCCGUGCUACCAAGUUGUUUUCAAUGAUGUAGCUUCCAAAUUGACAAUCAGCUCCGUUAAAUUUGAUCUACACUAUUGAAAGUAUUUGAAAAUUAAAUUUCAUAAUUUUUCGACAUCAUUUACCUAUCAAACAAGUGGUCUAAAAAUGAACUGCUGAAAAUAAAAUUUAAGCUCAGAAGUACUGAUCUUACUCUAAAUAGUGAAAAAAAUUUUCUAUAAAAAUUUCAUCAGAUUUGAAUGGUUUUACACCGUUAAAUUCACAAACUCAUCACAUCAACUAUUAAAAUUGUCAAUUUUGAGACCUUUUGAUCACUAACCAAAUGAUUGCAAAAAAUUAUAAAAUUUAGUUUCCAAAUACUUUUAAUAGUGUAGAUCAAGUCUAACGGAGCCGAUCGUCGAUUUGGAAGCCGCAUCAUUGAAAACAACUUGGUAGCACGCGUGCUACCGAUAGUAUACCCCUCUCUCUCUCUUUCUCUCUAUAUAUAUAUACGGAAUUAUUGGUGCUAUUAGUUUUUUAGCCCUUGGAUUGAGAAAUGUGCGGUUAGGAUGAUGUGGGCCCCCCUAGGGUUGAGUGAGUGGUUGGUUGAAUAGUAUAAUCUAAUGGGUAAAAAUAAUUAAAGGGGUUAAUCUAACGGCAGAAAACUUGAUAGCACCAAGUGUUUGGUGCUAUCGAUAGCAUAGCAGCCGGACU